Molecule: ribosomal RNA, 71 nt
Filed under: uncultured bacterium
Lineage: Bacteria
Description: partial 16S ribosomal RNA
Source: RNAcentral
GGAGCAAUCUGCCCUUCACAUCGGAAUAACCAUUGGAAACGAUGGCUAAUACCGAAUAUGACUUCGGAUCG